Molecule: ribosomal RNA, 282 nt
Filed under: Escherichia coli
Lineage: Bacteria; Pseudomonadati; Pseudomonadota; Gammaproteobacteria; Enterobacterales; Enterobacteriaceae
Description: partial 23S ribosomal RNA
Rfam family: Bacterial large subunit ribosomal RNA
Source: RNAcentral
GGGUUGUGAGGUUAAGCGACUAAGCGUACACGGUGGAUGCCCUGGCAGUCAGAGGCGAUGAAGGACGUGCUAAUCUGCGAUAAGCGUCGGUAAGGUGAUAUGAACCGUUAUAACCGGCGAUUUCCGAAUGGGGAAACCCAGUGUGAUUCGUCACACUAUCAUUAACUGAAUCCAUAGGUUAAUGAGGCGAACCGGGGGAACUGAAACAUCUAAGUACCCCGAGGAAAAGAAAUCAACCGAGAUUCCCCCAGUAGCGGCGAGCGAACGGGGAGGAGCCCAGAG